CAGAGGAGAAAACCAUGGAACACAAGGUCUCCGGAGGAAAACAGUGCUCAGUGUUCCCAACCCCUGCACCGGAGUGUCAGUACUCUGACACUCAAGUCUAAGUUCCUUUUACAGGAGAUCUAAGCAGAAGUGCCUCUGACUGUCAUAACUGAAAAUGGUUAUCUACAGAAUGCUCUUGUGAAUACAGAGCUCAAAGCCAUUUUAUGAGACUGGCUGGAUUUAUCCUCAUGAGAUGCCUCUUGAGCCACAUAAGGCAGGAGAGAAGCAGGUGUCACCUUCACUUUCCCGGCACACGUGGGAAAACACAGAAGGUUAAGGCCCCUGUGACCCUCAGGCCUUCAGGGAGGACAGUGAGCAACACGAAUGCCAGACCCUGCUUUUCCAGGAUGCUGUCUGCAGUGGUGAGCGUGGGACCAGCCCCCAACAGCAGCCAGUGCCCAUGGCCCGAAGGCAUGGAUCCACUGAGCACACAGCUAUGUGCAGUCCUCCCCAGCAGGAAGAGAGACUCCUCUCCUGAGUGCCCUCCUCUCUCUACCCCAUCUCCUAGCUUAGAAUCACAGGAGGAAGAAAAGCUGAUCCUCUUAGGAAACUGA
This 593-nucleotide long non-coding RNA is filed under the name Chinchilla lanigera (long-tailed chinchilla). Its description in RNAcentral is "lncRNA (ENSCLAG00000025149.1)". Lineage: Eukaryota; Metazoa; Chordata; Mammalia; Rodentia; Chinchillidae. The record is from RNAcentral.